AACUUAUGAUGUGGAAUUGCACGGACAUAGUCAUUAAAACGCUCAUGGGCUUCAACAAUGUUCUCAGUAGAAUAUUGAGCAAAGGUAGAUAUCCUAGUUCUUAGAUU
RNAcentral lists this small nucleolar RNA (107 nucleotides) under Setaria italica (foxtail millet). RNAcentral's name for it is "Plant small nucleolar RNA R71". It matches the Rfam family "Plant small nucleolar RNA R71". Rfam says of the family: R71 is a member of the C/D box family of snoRNAs containing the C (UGAUGA) and D (CUGA) box motifs. Multiple nearly identical copies of this snoRNA have been identified in Arabidopsis, and it is thought to function as a 2'-O-ribose methylation guide for 18S ribosomal RNA. The record is from Rfam by way of RNAcentral. Lineage: Eukaryota; Viridiplantae; Streptophyta; Magnoliopsida; Poales; Poaceae.